Molecule: long non-coding RNA, 124 nt
Organism: Octopus sinensis (East Asian common octopus)
Lineage: Eukaryota; Metazoa; Mollusca; Cephalopoda; Octopoda; Octopodidae
Exons: 3
Source: RefSeq, a predicted model, not a curated record
CACCGCUCUAUCGAGCGAGCGCGCAAACCGUUGCUCUGAUCCCGCGGUUCCUCUCGUACUGGACGGGAUAGCCGUAGCCGAGUUGACGUUGCCGACGCCCGCCUAAGGCAGCCGCGCGCGCAAU